This is a long non-coding RNA of Mya arenaria, 602 nucleotides long. RefSeq lists it as uncharacterized. The record is from RefSeq and is a predicted model, not a curated record. The transcript has 3 exons. Lineage: Eukaryota; Metazoa; Mollusca; Bivalvia; Myida; Myidae.
AUUGAGGUGGACAAAAUGAAACCUGAGCCUACCAAAGCUGACAGAUUGCACAAGAAACACAUAAAUGCAGAUUGGAAGAUUCAUUCUCUGGAAAGUAGAAAAGGGCAUGUUACAUACUGUUAUCACUGCCAUGACAGAAACCAUAUUGAGGAGCUGGUCCACAUGUAGGAAGAAUUGUGCUAUUGGUUGGAGCAGCACUAUUCCCCAGCCAUACACCAGCACUUAGUUUGUCAUAGGGAGCAUUUCUGAGCUGUUAUGGAGACCACUAACUAUGCAGUUGUUGCAGUGAAACUUGCACCAGUGUGUUUUCUGUGGAGAUAAAGAGAUAGUGUCCAGCAAUGAAGACCCAACUCAAGAUCUGACCUUGUAAGGCCAAUAUGAAAUAACUGUGUGGGAAAAUGGGAAAAACCUGCAGUCAGGAAUGCACGGAAAUCAUCAAAAGAACAGUGUUAAAUUAAUCUUGAAUAACUUGACAUUUAUUUUGUUUGACAUAUUUAUUCAUGGUGCAGUGAAAACAUUCUUUUUUUCUCAUGGUUAUUUAAAUUUAGAAUUGAUAGGAGGGAACAUCACUAUGUAGUUUCAUGUUCAUAGUCAGAUCAAAA